Molecule: small RNA, 525 nt
Filed under: Pan troglodytes (chimpanzee)
Lineage: Eukaryota; Metazoa; Chordata; Mammalia; Primates; Hominidae
Description: processed transcript
Source: RNAcentral
AAGUUGAGGAGUGUGAGUGGGGCUACUGUGGUGGGAUCUCCAGGGCAGCCCCAUCCAGCAUUUUCAUUCAGGGUCCCGGAGCGGGUGUGGGCAGUGGUUUGGUGGUCUGCUGCCAGCCAGGGCAGGGGAGCCCUUAUGAAGCUCCUGAGGUGGAACCAGGCAUCUGAGCCCAGGCUUGUUGCUUCUUAGAGUUGACCAGGACAGCGCUUUGCACAACGAUCUCCAGAUCCUCAAAGAGAAAGAAGGAGCCGACUUCAUUCUACUUAACUUUUCCUUUAAAGUAAGACUUUUCUUUUCCAGUCUCUCCCUCUGGCCUAGGCUGCCCAGUCUGCCUGACAGUCCUGUGGAGGAUGCUGGCCUCCCUCCCCUGAUUGUCGUCUCUCUCUCUCUCUCUCAGGAUAACUUUCCCUUUGACCCACCAUUUGUCAGGGUUGUGUCUCCAGUCCUCUCUGGAGGGUAUGUUCUGGGCGGAGGGGCCAUCUGCAUGGAACUUCUCACCAAACAGGUGAGCCUGUCUCUCCUCCU